Molecule: ribosomal RNA, 450 nt
Filed under: uncultured bacterium
Lineage: Bacteria
Description: partial 16S ribosomal RNA
Rfam family: Bacterial small subunit ribosomal RNA
Source: RNAcentral
GUGGGGAAUCUUCCACAAUGGACGAAAGACUGAUGGAGCAACGCCGCGUGAGUGAAGAAGGGUUUCGGCUCGUAAAGCUCUGUUGUCGGGGACGAAUGUGCAGUAUUUGAAUAAAGUACUGCAAUGACGGUACCUGACGAGGAAGCCACGGCUAACUACGUGCCAGCAGCCGCGGUAAUACGUAGGUGGCAAGCGUUGUCCGGAAUUAUUGGGCGUAAAGGGAGCGCAGGCGGGAAGGUAAGUCGGUCUUAAAAGUGCGGGGCUCAACCCCGUGAUGGGAUCGAAACUAUCUUUCUUGAGUGCAGGAGAGGAAAGUGGAAUUCCUAGUGUAGCGGUGAAAUGCGUAGAUAUUAGGAGGAACACCAGUGGCGAAGGCGACUUUCUGGACUGUAACUGACGCUGAGGCUCGAAAGCCAGGGGAGCGAACGGGAUUAGAUACCCGUGUAGUCC